GAGUGCCCCAAGCGUUAUCCGGAUUUAUUGGGCGUAAAGCGUACGUAGGCGGUUUAUUAAGUCAGUGGUAAAAUCUCAGGGCUCAACCCUGAACCUGCCACUGAAACUGCUAAACUAGAGGCUGGGAGAGGCAAGCGGAAUUGCUGGUGUAGGGGUAAAAUCCGUUAAUAUCAGCGGGAACACCAACUGCGAAGGCAGCUUGCUAGAACAGUCCUGACGCUAAGGUACGAAAGCGUGGGUAGCGAAUGGGAUUAGAUACCCCAGUAGUCCACGCCGUAAACGAUGGAUACUAGACAUUGGAAGUAUCGACCCCUUUCAGUGUCGGUGAACCAAGCUAACGCAUUAAGUAUCCCGCCUGGGGAGUACGGCCGCAAGGCUA
RNAcentral lists this ribosomal RNA (379 nucleotides) under uncultured organism. Its description in RNAcentral is "partial 16S ribosomal RNA". It matches the Rfam family "Bacterial small subunit ribosomal RNA", at positions 527 to 896 of the family's 1533-position model. The record is from RNAcentral.